Molecule: ribosomal RNA, 449 nt
Filed under: uncultured bacterium
Lineage: Bacteria
Description: partial 16S ribosomal RNA
Rfam family: Bacterial small subunit ribosomal RNA
Source: RNAcentral
AGCGAACGCUGGCGGCAUGCCUAACACAUGCAAGUCGAACGAAGCCUUCGGGCUUAGUGGCGCACGGGUGCGUAACGCGUGGGAAUCUGCCCUUGGGUUCGGAAUAACAGUUAGAAAUGACUGCUAAUACCGGAUGAUGUCUUCGGACCAAAGAUUUAUCGCCCAAGGAUGAGCCCGCGUAGGAUUAGGUAGUUGGUGGGGUAAUGGCCCACCAAGCCGACGAUCCUUAGCUGGUCUGAGAGGAUGAUCAGCCACACUGGGACUGAGACACGGCCCAGACUCCUACGGGAGGCAGCAGUAGGGAAUAUUGGACAAUGGGCGAAAGCCUGAUCCAGCAAUGCCGCGUGAGUGAUGAAGGCCUUAGGGUUGUAAAGCUCUUUUACCAGGGAUGAUAAUGACAGUACCUGGAGAAUAAGCUCCGGCUAACUCCGUGCCAGCAGCCGCCGUAA